GAAAGUAAGCAAGGGCAGACGGUGGAUGCCUUGGCUCUCGGAGGCGAUGAAGGACGUGAUAAGCUGCGAUAAGCUUGGGGUAGGUGCAAAUAACCUUUGAUCCCAAGAUUUCCGAAUGGGGCAACCCGGCUGGUAGAAGGCCAGUCAUUCCGUAAGGAAGGCGAACGUGGGGAACUGAAACAUCUAAGUACCCAUAGGAGAAGAAAACAAAAGUGAUUCCGCAAGUAGUGGCGAGCGAACGCGGAACAGCCCAAACCGAUGAUGUUUAGGCAUUGUCGGGGUAGUAGGACCACGUUGUGGCAAGAGAUUAAUGAAGUAGAACGUUUUGGAACAAACGGCCGUAGACGGUGAAAGCCCAGUAUACGACUCUUUAACGAAGCCUAGUGGAAUCCUGAGUAGCGCGGAGCACGAGAAAUUCUGUGUGAAUCAGCGGGGCCCAUCCCGUAAGGCUAAAUACUCCCGAGAGACCGAUAGCGAACCAGUACUGUGAAGGAAAGGUGAAAAGCACCUCGAACAGAGGAGUGAAAUAGUCCCUGAAACCGUCUGCCUACAAGCGGUCGGAGCAACGUAAGUUGUGACGGCGUGCCUUUUGCAUAAUGAACCUACGAGUUACUUUCUCCGGCAAGGUUAAGGGCUUCAGGCCCGGAGCCGAAGCGAAAGCGAGUCUUAAUAGGGCGUGAUAGUCGGAGUGAGUAGACGCGAAACCAAGUGAUCUACCCUUGGUCAGGAUGAAGGUUGGGUAACACCAACUGGAGGUCCGAAUGGGUAUACGUUGAAAAGUGUUCCAAUGAACUGAGGGUAGGGGUGAAAGGCUAAUCAAACUUGGAGAUAGCUCGUACUCCCCGAAAUGCAUUUAGGUGCAGCCUUUAUUUAGUAUAGCAUGAGGUAGAGCGACUGAUUGGAUGCGAGGGCUUCACCGCCUAUCAAGUCCAGAUAAACUCCGAAUGCGUGCUAUAUAUUGAUAAGGAGUGAGGGCGCGGGUGCUAAGGUCCGCGUCCGAGAGGAGAAGAAUCCAGACCAUCAGCUAAGGUCCCCAAAUAACAGUUAAGUUGAACUAACGAAGUCGGACUGCAGAGACAGCUAGGAUGUUGGCUUGGAAGCAGCCAUUCAUUUAAAGAGUGCGUAACAGCUCACUAGUCGAGGAGUCCGGCGUGGAUAAUACUCGGGCAUAAACUGUUUACCGAAGCUAUGGAUGUAGAAAUACAUGGUAGGGGAGCAUUCCAACGGCGUCGAAGGUGAAGGAUGACCUUUGCUGGAGCUUUUGGAAACGCAAAUGUAGGUAUAAGUAACGAUAAAGGAGGUGAGAAACCUCCUCGCCGAAAGACUAAGGUUUCCUGAUCAACGUUAAUCGGAUCAGGGUAAGUCGGGACCUAAGGUUAAGCCGAACGGCGAUACCGAUGGAAGAAUGGUUUAAUAUUCCCAUACUACUUUAUGGAGCGAUGUGGAGACGGAGAAGUGAAAGUCCUGCCAUCUGACGGAAUAGGUGGUUGAAGAGUGUAGAUGUAGAUUCCUGUAGGCAAAUCCGCAGGGAGAGUCGACCUUGACAGUAUGCCGCGUGCUUGCACAAGGCAAAAUGGACGUAAUCAGGCUCCCAAGAAAAUCCGCUAAGCAUAUUCAUAAAGUACCCGUACCGUAAACGGACACACGUAGUUGGGUUGAAAAUACUGAGGCGCUCGAGUGAUUCACGGUUAAGGAACUAGGCAAAUUGACCCUGUAACUUCGGGAUAAAGGGUCCCUACUGAGAGGUAGGGCGCAGAGAAUAGGUCCAGGCAACUGUUUAACAAAAACACAUGGCUGUGCGAAAUAGAAAUAUGAAGUAUACAGCCUGACACCUGCCCGGUGCUGGAAGGUUAAGAGGAGAGCUCAUCGCAAGAGAAGGCUUGAAUUGAAGCCCCAGUAAACGGCGGCCGUAACUAUAACGGUCCUAAGGUAGCGAAAUUCCUUGUCGGGU
RNAcentral lists this ribosomal RNA (1951 nucleotides) under human gut metagenome. RNAcentral's name for it is "bacterial LSU rRNA". It matches the Rfam family "Bacterial large subunit ribosomal RNA", at positions 1 to 1977 of the family's 2925-position model. The record is from RNAcentral.